RNAcentral lists this transfer RNA (76 nucleotides) under Betaproteobacteria bacterium. Its description in RNAcentral is "tRNA-Ala". It matches the Rfam family "tRNA". From Rfam's summary of the family: Transfer RNA (tRNA) molecules are approximately 80 nucleotides in length. Lineage: Bacteria; Pseudomonadati; Pseudomonadota; Betaproteobacteria. The record is from RNAcentral.
GGGGACGUAGCUCAGAUGGGAGAGCGUCGCGUUCGCAAUGCGAAGGUCGGGAGUUCGAUCCUCCUCGUCUCCACCA